This 823-nucleotide ribosomal RNA is filed under the name uncultured bacterium. RNAcentral describes it as "bacterial SSU rRNA". It matches the Rfam family "Bacterial small subunit ribosomal RNA", at positions 8 to 719 of the family's 1533-position model. The record is from RNAcentral.
AGAGUUUGAUCAUGGCUCAGGACGAACGCUGGCGGCGUGCCUAACACAUGCAAGUCGAACGAUUUAGUCGUCGGUCAUCAGACGUCAGACGUCAGGAAAAAGUGGUGAGCGGAACCCAGACAUUGGGGAGAACCUGAAGGCAGAGGUUGUUGCAAAGACUAUCCUUACGACCGAUGUCCGAUGACUGACGACCGAAUAGUGGCGGACGGGUGAGUAACGCGUGGGUAACCUGCCCAUAAGUGGGGAAUAACAGUUGGAAACGACUGCUAAUACCGCAUAAGCUGAGCAAUCAGUAAAGGAGGCUAACGCUUCCGCUUAUGGAUGGGCCCGCGUCUGAUUAGCUUGUUGGUGGGGUAAUGGCCUACCAAGGCAACGAUCAGUAGCCGGCCUGAGAGGGUGGACGGCCACACUGGGACUGAGACACGGCCCAGACUCCUACGGGAGGCAGCAGUGGGGAAUAUUGCGCAAUGGGGGAAACCCUGACGCAGCGACGCCGCGUGAGCGAAGAAGGCCUUAGGGUCGUAAAGCUCUGUUUUAAGGGACGAAUAUCUUCAGUAGUAACUGACUGGGGAAUGACGGUACCUUAAGAGAAAGCCCCGGCUAACUACGUGCCAGCAGCCGCGGUAAGACGUAGGGGGCGAGCGUUGUCCGGAAUUACUGGGCGUAAAGAGCACGUAGGCGGGAUUUUAAGUCAGGUGUGAAAGACCGUGGCUCAACCACGGGGUUGCACAUGAAACUGGAAUUCUUGAGGGCAGGAGAGGAAAGUGGAAUUCCUGGUGUAGCGGUGAAAUGCGUAGAAAUCAGGAGGAACACCGGUGGCGAA